CAAAAACAUCUCUUAAAAUAAUUUUAAGUCUUCUCUGCUCAAUGAAUUUUUAAUAGCCGCAGUAUUUUGACUGUGCUAAGGUAGCAUAAUAAUUUGUCUUAUAAUUGAAGACUAGAAUAAAUGAGCAAACACCAAAAUAUCUUUUUUAUCUUUUUAUUAAAAAUUAAUUUAUUUGUUAAAAAGCAAAACUUUUUAAAGGGACGAUAAGACCCUAUAAAACUUUACUUUAAAAAUUAUUAAUAAGACACAAAACUUUUAAGAGUUAAGCUGGGGCGGCAUUUAAUAUUCUUUAAUAAAAUUAACAAUAUUACUGAAAUAGAAAGAACUUUUUUUUAAAAAAAAAGUUAAAUCAAGUUACUUUAGGGAUAACAGCACAAUUUCUUCUUAAAGACCUUAUUAAAGAAGAAGACUUGUGACCUCGAUGUUGAAUUGAAGAGCUUAUUUUAAGCAAAAAUAAAAUAAAGAAGUCUGUUCGACUUUUAAUCCUUCACGUGAUCUG
This 499-nucleotide ribosomal RNA is filed under the name Bellibos sp. 2 SB-2021a. RNAcentral's name for it is "partial 16S ribosomal RNA". It matches the Rfam family "Archaeal large subunit ribosomal RNA", at positions 1900 to 2676 of the family's 2987-position model. The record is from RNAcentral. Lineage: Eukaryota; Metazoa; Arthropoda; Malacostraca; Isopoda; Munnopsidae.